CCUACGGGGGGCUGCAGUGGGGAAUAUUGGACAAUGGGGGCAACCCUGAUCCAGCCAUGCCGCGUGUGUGAAGAAGGCCCUCGGGUUGUAAAGCACUUUCAGUGAGGAAGAACGCCUGGUGGUUAAUACCCAUCAGGAAAGACAUCACUCACAGAAGAAGCACCGGCUAACUCCGUGCCAGCAGCCGCGGUAAUACGGAGGGUGCGAGCGUUAAUCGGAAUUACUGGGCGUAAAGCGCGCGUAGGUGGCUUGAUAAGCCGGUUGUGAAAGCCCCGGGCUCAACCUGGGAACGGCAUCCGGAACAGUCAAGCUAGGGUGCAGGAGAGGAAGGUAGAAUUCCCGGUGUAGCGGUGAAAUGCGUUGAGAUCGGGAGGAAUACCAGUGGCGAAGGCGGCCUUCUGGACUGACACUGACACUGAGGUGCGAAAGCGUGGGUAGAAAACAGGCUGAGAUACCCUAGUAGUA
RNAcentral lists this ribosomal RNA (465 nucleotides) under Vreelandella stevensii. Its description in RNAcentral is "partial 16S ribosomal RNA". It matches the Rfam family "Bacterial small subunit ribosomal RNA", at positions 338 to 795 of the family's 1533-position model. Lineage: Bacteria; Pseudomonadati; Pseudomonadota; Gammaproteobacteria; Oceanospirillales; Halomonadaceae. The record is from RNAcentral.